RNAcentral lists this ribosomal RNA (433 nucleotides) under uncultured organism. Its description in RNAcentral is "bacterial SSU rRNA". It matches the Rfam family "Bacterial small subunit ribosomal RNA", at positions 29 to 507 of the family's 1533-position model. The record is from RNAcentral.
AGCGAACGCUGGCGGCAGGCCUAACACAUGCAAGUCGAACGAAGCCUUCGGGCUUAGUGGCGGACGGGUGAGUAACACGUGGGAACGUACCUUUUGGUUCGGAAUAACGCAGAGAAAUUUGCGCUAAUACCGAAUGUGCCCUUAGGGGGAAAGAUUUAUCGCCAUUAGAGCGGCCCGCGUUGGAUUAGGUAGUUGGUGUGGUAAAGGCGCACCAAGCCUACGAUCCAUAGCUGGUCUGAGAGGAUGAUCAGCCACACUGGGACUGAGACACGGCCCAGACUCCUACGGGAGGCAGCAGUGGGGAAUCUUGCGCAAUGGGCGAAAGCCUGACGCAGCCAUGCCGCGUGAAUGAUGAAGGUCUUAGGAUUGUAAAAUUCUUUUACCAGGGACGAUAAUGACGGUACCUGGAGAAAAAGCCCCGGCUAACUUCGUG